GACGAACGAUGGCGGCGUGCUUAACACAUGCAAGUCGAACGAUGAAGCUGGAGCUUGCUCCGGUGGAUUAGUGGCGAACGGGUGAGUAACACGUGAGCAAUCUGCCCUUGACUCUGGGAUAACUGCGGGAAACUGUAGCUAAUACCGGAUACGAGGCUCGAAGGCAUCUUCGGGUCUGGAAAGAAUGUCGGUCAAGGAUGAGCUCGCGGCCUAUCCGCUUGUUGGUGAGGUAAUGGCUCACCAAGGCGACGACGGGUAGCCGGCCUGAGAGGGUGACCGGCCACACUAAGACUGAGACACGGCGCAGAAUCGUACGGGAGGCAGCAGUGGGGAAUAUUGCACAAUGGGCGAAAGCUUGAUGCAGAAACGCCGCGUGAGGGAUGAAGGCCUUCGGGUUGUAAACCUCUUUUAUCAGGGAAGAAGCGAAAGUGACGGUACCUGCAGAAAAAGCACCGGCUAACUACGUGCCAGCCGCCGCCGUAA
This 483-nucleotide ribosomal RNA is filed under the name uncultured bacterium. Its description in RNAcentral is "partial 16S ribosomal RNA". It matches the Rfam family "Bacterial small subunit ribosomal RNA", at positions 28 to 523 of the family's 1533-position model. The record is from RNAcentral.